UACGUAGGGUGCGAGCGUUGUCCGGAUUUAUUGGGCGUAAAGAGCUCGUAGGCGGUUCGUCGCGUCGGCUGUGAAAUCCCGAGGCUCAACCUCGGGUCUGCAGUCGAUACGGGCGGACUGGAGUUCGGCAGGGGAGACUGGAAUUCCUGGUGUAGCGGUGAAAUGCGCAGAUAUCAGGAGGAACACCGGUGGCGAAGGCGGGUCUCUGGGCCAAUACUGACGCUGAGGAGCGAAAGCGUGGGGAGCGAACAGG
Molecule: ribosomal RNA, 253 nt
Filed under: uncultured bacterium
Lineage: Bacteria
Description: partial 16S ribosomal RNA
Rfam family: Bacterial small subunit ribosomal RNA
Source: RNAcentral